Molecule: transfer RNA, 74 nt
Filed under: Methanoregula sp.
Lineage: Archaea; Methanobacteriati; Methanobacteriota; Methanomicrobia; Methanomicrobiales; Methanoregulaceae
Also listed under: 2 other names
Description: tRNA-Val
Rfam family: tRNA
About the family: Transfer RNA (tRNA) molecules are approximately 80 nucleotides in length. Their secondary structure includes four short double-helical elements and three loops (D, anti-codon, and T loops).
Source: RNAcentral
GGGCUCGUGGUCUAGUUGGUUAUGACGUCGCCCUUACACGGCGGAGGUCGCCGGUUCGAAUCCGGCCGGGCCCA